CGCGCAGGCGGCUGUUCAAGUCCGAUGUGAAAUCUUCCGGCUUAACUGGAAAACGGCAUCGGAUACUGGACGGCUGGAAGGUGGGAGAGGGUAGCGGAAUUCCCGGUGUAGUGGUGAAAUGCGUAGAUAUCGGGAGGAACACCAGUGGCGAAAGCGGCUACCUGGCCCACUCUUGACGCUGAGGCGCGAAAGCUAGGGGAGCAAACGG
This 208-nucleotide ribosomal RNA is filed under the name uncultured bacterium. RNAcentral's name for it is "partial 16S ribosomal RNA". It matches the Rfam family "Bacterial small subunit ribosomal RNA", at positions 568 to 775 of the family's 1533-position model. The record is from RNAcentral.